This 28-nucleotide non-coding RNA is filed under the name Homo sapiens (human). Lineage: Eukaryota; Metazoa; Chordata; Mammalia; Primates; Hominidae. The record is from RNAcentral.
ACAGUGCCAAAGAUGCGGCAACUGGAGG